RNAcentral lists this transfer RNA (72 nucleotides) under Planctomycetota bacterium. Its description in RNAcentral is "Planctomycetes bacterium tRNA-Thr". It matches the Rfam family "tRNA". Rfam says of the family: Transfer RNA (tRNA) molecules are approximately 80 nucleotides in length. Lineage: Bacteria; Pseudomonadati; Planctomycetota. The record is from RNAcentral. RNAcentral also lists the same sequence under 1 other name.
GCUGCUGUAGCUCAGUGGUAGAGCGCCGCCUUGGUAAGGCGGAGGUCGUGGGUUCAACCCCCACCAGCAGCU